Molecule: non-coding RNA, 224 nt
Organism: Pelobates cultripes (western spadefoot toad)
Lineage: Eukaryota; Metazoa; Chordata; Amphibia; Anura; Pelobatidae
Source: the annotation of a GenBank genome assembly
GGGUCCCAACGCCGAAUCCUCCCCCACCCUGGGGUCCCAGUGCAGGAAAUGGGACUUUGUUCUCUUUGUCCUGAAAGCCUGCCACCCAAACACAGGGUUUCCCACAACUGACUAUAGGGGGUCUUCUUCCCAGGAGCAUUUGUGCCUGGGAGCCAUGCGAAUGGGAGUGCAAAUGUUCUAAUUGAUUGGUGUGAAUGUUUUAAUGGGGCACCUGGGAGGUCCUC